GACGAACGCUGGCGGCGUGCUUAACACAUGCAAGUCGAACGGAAGGGCCCUGCUUUUGUGGGGUGCUCGAGUGGCGAACGCGUGAGUAACACGUGAGUAACCUGCCCUUGACUUUGGGAUAACUUCAGGAAACUGGGGCUAAUACCGGAUAGGAGCUCCUGCUGCAUGGUGGGGGUUGGAAAGUUUCGGCGGUUGGGGAUGGACUCGCGGCUUAUCAGCUUGUUGGUGGGGUAGUGGCUUACCAAGGCUUUGACGGGUAGCCGGCCUGAGAGGGUGACCGGCCACAUUGGGACUGAGAUACGGCCCAGACUCCUACGGGAGGCAGCAGUGGGGAAUAUUGCACAAUGGGCGGAAGCCUGAUGCAGCAACGCCGCGUGCGGGAUGACGGCCUUCGGGUUGUAAACCGCUUUCGCCUGUGACGAAGCGUGAGUGACGGUAAUGGGUAAAGAAGCACCGGCUAACUACGUG
Molecule: ribosomal RNA, 468 nt
Filed under: uncultured bacterium
Lineage: Bacteria
Description: partial 16S ribosomal RNA
Rfam family: Bacterial small subunit ribosomal RNA
Source: RNAcentral